RNAcentral lists this long non-coding RNA (1140 nucleotides) under Felis catus (domestic cat). RNAcentral's name for it is "lncRNA (ENSFCAG00000053182.1)". The record is from RNAcentral. Lineage: Eukaryota; Metazoa; Chordata; Mammalia; Carnivora; Felidae.
AUGUCUGCCUCAGUUGUUUUCCCUCCUUCUUGUUUAUCCAGUCCUGUUUUUCUUCCAGGGGGCCUCCCCGAUCCCCGGUUCUCUCCUUUCCUCACGCCCAGCCCCUUUCCCCAGCAGGGCCGGCCCUGGCUGAGCCUCCCCCAUUGUGUCUUGCUGGGCUUCCCUGGACAGUUGGAAGGGCGGCUCUGGCUCCUGGCGCUUGCUUCUGGCUCUUACAAGUGGUGGCUGGUCGGGAAAGCACCCGAGGGUGGGCGCAGGGAGCGGCGGUGCAGGAGAACUGGGCCCCGGUCAGGCCCCUGCUGCCAAACCCCCCACAUGGGGGGGGGCGGAGGGGGGGGCGGCUGUGGCCUCUUUCUUCCUCUACUUCCUUUGUCUCCCCGGCGUUGGGCCCUCCGGCUGGGCCCGGAUUUCCAGGUUCGGAGAUGGGUCAGUGAGCCGCUCCUGUCCUCUACGGAAGGACCCCCGCCCCGGGGGCCCGCCGCCCUCAUAUUGUGGAUGCGCGGAUGUGUGUAUCUGUUUCCGCAACUUAGCCUUUCGCACGUGACCUCCCUGGCAGUUGCCAUGGAAACCCCUCUUCAAUUCUCAGCCUCCCUCCUUUUCCUGCCCAUUCCUCACCUCCAUAUCGCCUCCCCUCCCCCCCCAACAUGGUUGCCUAGAGACUGGUUAUCCCUGGCUUCUCUGGCUCCCAGACCCUGGGUAGCCAGCUCCCACCUGGAACCCAGGCGGCGGCUUCCUCGCUCCAGCUGCCCCCCCACUACACCCCGCAGACGUGCCCCGAACGCCCCAAACGCAUAUCCAUCCGUGCAUACCGCACCGCACACACUCCCUCACACACACGCACCACGCGUUCUGUCGUGCCACGCACUCGAACACACUACAGGUACGUGUAUCUCAUCCCGCAGGUACACCGCAUGCACACCCAGUUCAUCCUACACAGGACCCUCAAUGCCACUCCCACAUUGCGUGUGCUCUCACACCAACGAAAACACGCACACGCACACACACACAGUACUUCGAGAGAAGUCUCGAGCUGGAAGAGAGAGGGCAGUUUCCUGCCUCAUCUGGCUCUGUGCGGGAGUGUGUGUAGGGAAGGCCCAGGGAAGGCCAGAAGGAAACAUCUCCCUGGGGACGCGGGGUUAG